AGUGAACGCUGGCGGUAGGCCUAACACAUGCAAGUCGAACGGCAGCACAGUAAGAGCUUGCUCUUACGGGUGGCGAGUGGCGGACGGGUGAGGAAUACAUCGGAAUCUACUUUUUCGUGGGGGAUAACGUAGGGAAACUUACGCUACUACCGCAUACGACCUACGGGUGAAAGCAGGGGAUCUUCGUACCUUGCGCGAUUGAAUGAGCCGAUGUCGGAUUAGCUAGUUGGCGGGGUAAAGGCCCACCAAGGCGACGAUCCGUAGCUGGUCUGAGAGGAUGAACAGCCACACUGGAACUGAGACACGGUCCAGACUCCUACGGGAGGCAGCGGUGGGAAAUAUUGGACAAUGGGGGCAAGCCUGAUCCAGCCAUACCGCGUGAGUGAAGAAGGCCUUCGGGUUGUAAAGCCCUUUUGUUGGGAAAGAAAAGCAGCAGGUUAAUACCCCGCUGUUCUGACGGUACCCAAAGAAUAAGCACCGGCUAACUUCGUG
This 492-nucleotide ribosomal RNA is filed under the name uncultured bacterium. Its description in RNAcentral is "partial 16S ribosomal RNA". It matches the Rfam family "Bacterial small subunit ribosomal RNA", at positions 29 to 507 of the family's 1533-position model. The record is from RNAcentral.